GCAAGAGUGUGUGGAGCAGUUCGUCGUCAGUUUCCCCCGGUUCACCGUCUCUCCACCCGUUUACAGGAACGUUACUGAUGUAAAUGCGUUAUGAAUGCCCAUCGACCCAGCCAUUGAGAAAGAUCACCAACUGCAAGAGCGACACCAGAGAGCCCACUGUCUUCAUCAAGAGACAUCAAGUGCUGGCAGGACAAAUCUCGAGGAGCCACACGAGAGCAAAGCUGUAGGAGAUAAAGAUUUUGAAUAUGUCCUCGCUACAUCUGAUAGAUAUUACCUGUGAGGGGCAGAGCAUCUCCUGGAGGUUCAACGCACACGGUUUUGCCGUGGAGUGUCUGUUCAGGGCCAAGUUGAGUGUGACCACAAGACUGAUGGGUCCUGUGAUGUGUGCUACCUUUGUUUCUAUGUCCUUUCCUGUCUUUUGAUACAGAUUGUGUCAAUUGAUCAUGAAACUCCAUUUGGAAAUGUGUAAUUUGUCUUAAACACUGCUGUUAACGGUUUGUUUGUUCACCACAGGGUGGCUGUGGGUAACUGUGACGUCACCACUUUGGUGUGAGCGCCAUCCUUGGGCCACGCUAGUUCAGUUCAUCCUUCAGUCCGUGAGGAGGAACCCAAGAGACACAUGGAAAAAUUGUGCAUCUGACUUGGUGGAAAUAAAAACAUAGAGUAUUUUAGAAGAUUUUUCACUGCGUGUGAGAUCGUUGCUUACUUUCUUGUUAUACCAAAGAACAUUAUACAAAAGAAGACGACAGUUCAGAUUUAUUUGGAAUGAAAUAUAGUCUAAUCAAUAUUUUUGUUAUUUGUGUUACUUUUGAAAUGAAAUGGUAUCUUUAAAGCCAACUA
Epinephelus fuscoguttatus (brown-marbled grouper) is the source of this 840-nucleotide long non-coding RNA. RefSeq lists it as uncharacterized. NCBI's taxonomy places the organism in Eukaryota, Metazoa, Chordata, Actinopteri, Perciformes, Serranidae. The record is from RefSeq and is a predicted model, not a curated record. The transcript has 4 exons.